RNAcentral lists this long non-coding RNA (3601 nucleotides) under Homo sapiens (human). Its description in RNAcentral is "non-protein coding LINC00310:8". Lineage: Eukaryota; Metazoa; Chordata; Mammalia; Primates; Hominidae. The record is from RNAcentral.
AGUAGUUGGACAAAAAGCAAGAAGCUGAUCGAUGUUGCUGGCUUUGGAUUCUUUGUGAACAAAUGAGACAAGGCUGCAAAUUCAGAGGAUCCUCCCAGAAGAUAAGAUGGAGCAGGUCACCACCUUCUUCCCUGCUUCACACCCUCAGGCCCCGACUCUUGUCUGCUGAGAUCACUCUCCAAACCAAUCUUCCCUUACAAAGCCCUUGUUGCAGGCUAUGCUUUCUGAGGGGAACCCAGGCCAAGACACUAAAAUGACACACCAACAUGAAGACAUGAACACAAUUGCAAAGGGAUUGGUUGGAUUGCAUAUCUCUGUGAAUGGGACUCAAGAGAAGUUUGGGAAAUGCUGGACCAGAUGACCCUUGCAAUCAUGGUGCACAGAAUUAAAACCGUCAAGUUCCCCAUCCAUCUCUGAGAUGGAUGAGAAUCUGAGUCUUCCACAAGAUGCCCAAGACUUGUUAAACCCGUGGAAUGUCUUUGGGUAUGUGUGACAUCAACAAGAAGCAGCAGACAAAACAAAAUAUUUUCACAAACAUUCAGAAAUCCCUAAAUCUUGUGAGUUGUCGUAUCAUUUGUAGAUAUAAUUAUAAAAUGGCACUUGAUGGCGAAGGCUGGUCGCAGGGUUAGGGAGCAGAGCUGAUUAGAGGACCAGUACCAAUUUCCCACCUCCUCGGUGCCAAGCUCUGGGAAGAGGGUGACAGAGAUGGCCCUGGUUCCUGGCCUCAAGGGGCCAGCAGUCCGGUGGGCAGGCAGCCUGUGCAGGUGACCUUGUACUUCAUUAGCUAAACACGAGUAUGUAUCUAUGUACACACACCUGGAAGGGAGGGAAGCUCAAUAUAGGUGGGGGGCAGGCCUCCCAAGCUGGGCUGAAAAGCAUCAGCCUUCCCAGGAUGGGACAUCUCAGCUGAGACCUGAGAAGAAAGGGCUACCUGGAUUUUAUUUUAUUUUGUUUUCUUAUUUUUGAGACAGGAUCUCAUUCUGUUGCCCAGAGGCUAGAGUACAAUGAUGCAGUCACGACUCACUGUAGCCUUGACCUCCGUAGGCUCAAGCGAUCCUCCUGUCUCAGCCUCCCAGGUAGCUGGAACCACAGGCACACACCACUGUGCCCAGCUAAUUUUUGUAUUUUUUGUAGAGACGGGGUUUCGCCAUGUUGCCCAGGCUGGUCUCAAACUCCUGGGCUCUGCCAGAGGGAUGCUAACACCGCCCACGUGCUGCAGCAGGACUUUGGAAGGGGAACCAGCACUGUAAUGAAGUGUUGGGUUGGCUCAAGUCUUGUCUGGACCACAAACCAUUUUUCAACCACUAGUGUGCCUUUAAAACCCAAACCAACUGUGAGAGUGGUUUUCUACUUUGAUUCUAGAUGGGAAAAUAUUUUGCUUUUUUGGUGGAUGACAGUGUCAGGUCCCAAAUGGAUUUGGUUUCAUCCUCCAGCACGCAUGCAUAUAACGUGAAACAUGCCCACACUCUGCAAGGGCCACAGCCACCCCACCAUUAUGUUCCAAGGCAAAUAUGCGUCCGCGGGUCCCCGGGAAAGUAAAGGAGUUUCACAUUGAGGAGCCGAGCCACACAGUCUAGCAGUUCUGAUGUCUCUCCAAGGCCCACAGAUCCUGGUCUACUAACUUAAGGCCCCUUUUGUCUAAAAUAGUGAUGUACAUUAAAUGCAAAGGGCAAAUGGAACCAUUGAAAAGUACUUUUUGCAUCCAAAACAGCCAACGCUUUGGUGCCUGCUAUGUGUCAGACACUGAUUCUUCUGUCAUCCUUAUUCUACUGAUGAGGCAACUGAGGCAGCUUCAGAGAGUUCGAGUAACCUGCGGAUCACACAACUAGGAAGUAAGAGAGCUGGAACUUGACGUUGGGCUGUUGACCUCCAGAAAUGGUGUUUUUUCCAGUACUCAGUGCUGCCUCUGACUCCAUUGUGAUGGUUGAUUUUAUGUGUCAACUUGACUGGGCCCAGGGGUACCCAGAUAUUUGGUCAAACAUUAUUCUGGGUGUUUCUGUGAGGGCGUUUUGGGUGAGAUUAACAUUUAAAUUGGUAGACUGAGUAAAGCAGAUGGCCCUCUAUGAUAUGGCCAGGCCUCAUCCAAUCCAUUGAAAGCCUGAAUGGAACAAAAAGGCCAACCCUCCCUCAGUAGGAGGAAAUUUCGUCUGCUUGGGUUGUCUUCAGGGAAGAGAGCAGUUCUCACUCAACAAUCAGACAUAACUCUGUCUUAUAACAAAAUUGCACCCAUGGAGCGUCUAGGAACUCCCUACCCAAAGUGUGGUCUGUGGGCCAGCAGCACCUGCGUCAUCUGGGAACUUGUAAGAAAUGGGAUUCUUAGCAGAUCCCAGACCCUGCUGCAUCAGAACCUGCAUUUUAAUGAGAUCCCAGGUGAUUUGUGUACCUGUGAAAAUGUAAGAAGCCCCACUCCAGGGCAUACACAUCCCACUGAUAGGAAUGGAAUCAGGACUAUUACAUAUUUUGGAAAUAUUUUUAAACAAUUAAGAAAAAAGUGAUAAAAAAUUUCCUUAUUAAAUUAGCAAAGAUCCAAAAUGAAAGAUUAUCCCAAUAUUUUUGUUAAAUAGAUACUUUUUUUGUUAGACACUGCUGGUGGGAAUAUAAAUACAAUGUUUCUUAGUAUAAUGUUUCUAAAGGGCAAAUUGUUAGAGAAGUCUGAGAACAAAUGCUCUGCCUUUUUUAAGAAUUGACAGAUAAAAUGGUAUGUAUUUUUCAUGUACAACAUGAUGUUUUAAAGUAUUUGCACAUUGUGGAAUGGUUAAAUUUAGCCAGUUACCUCACAGAGGUUUUUUUGUGUGUGAAAACACUUAAUAUCCACUUUCUUUGCAUUUUUCAAGAAUACAGUAUAUUGUUGCAAGUGGAUGGCAAGCUUCCUUGUGACUUCUCAUCCUGGCAAUUUUCUGGAGUGUUUGUGACUGGACUUUAACAUUUCCAAAAUGUGGCGACAGUGACUGUUAAGUCUUCCCAAAGACGAGGGUUCCUGGGAGCCCCAGGGUGCUGCAAGCAUCAGGACAGCAGAGACCAAAUUCAUCAUUGAAUCCUCAACAUCUAGCACAAUAUGCCUGGCAUAAGAUAUCAGUAGGACAUCCCCCAGUCACUAUGACAAAUGAAGCACACAAAUUGCUAAAAUGGUUCUGAUCCAUUGAGAACCCUUAGAGGAGAGAGGGCUUCAAAUCGUCCAAGGGAGCAACUGCAAAGAAAAGACAGGUGUGAGAGCCAAUGGGGUGUGCCAUGCUGAAAGUAACGUGUCUGCUUUCCAAUCAAAUACUGGAACCGGGUACAACAUGGUGUACCAUCUGGCAUCUCCUCCAUGAUGGCAGAAGGAACUGCCCUCUCUUAGUCCACCCCCACCUCCCAUCUGUCCUCUCCUCAGUUGCACAUGUUCCCAGCUGUGUUCACCAUCAGGGAGGUUUUCAUCCAUGUCCAACCUCCUAACAAGGAACUCUGGAUUCCAGCUAGAAGAUGGGGACAGAGAAAUGUUUAAAGGCACUCCUAAUGUCAACAAGAAGAAUCAAAUUAAACAAAAAAGCUUCUGAGUGGGGUCCAGGUAAGAAAACUCUUUAAGCAUGAUUUUCCCAUCUGUUUAAUUUCUUAUGCUGAAAAA